This 64-nucleotide transfer RNA is filed under the name Discolomatidae sp. 3 ACP-2013. Its description in RNAcentral is "tRNA-Ala". Lineage: Eukaryota; Metazoa; Arthropoda; Insecta; Coleoptera; Discolomatidae. The record is from RNAcentral.
UAGGAUAAUAGUUUACAUAAACAUUUAAUUUGCAUUUAAAAAAAAUUAUUAAUUAAUUUAUCUU